GACGAACGCUGGCGGUGUGCUUAACACAUGCAAGUCGAACGGAAAGGCCUCUUUCGGGGGGUACUCGAGUGGCGAACGGGUGAGUAACACGAGAGUAACCUGCCCUUGACUUUGGGAUAACUUCAGGAAACUGGGGCUAAUACCGGAUAGGAGCUCCUGCUGCAUGGUGGGGGUUGGAAAGUUUCGGCGGUUGGGGAUGGACUCGCGGCUUAUCAGCUUGUUGGUGGGGUAGUGGCUUACCAAGGCUUUGACGGGUAGCCGGCCUGAGAGGGUGACCGGCCACAUUGGGACUGAGAUACGGCCCAGACUCCUACGGGAGGCAGCAGUGGGGAAUAUUGCACAAUGGGUGGAAGCCUGAUGCAGCAACGCCGUGUGCGGGAUGACGGCCUUCGGGUUGUAAACCGCUUUCGCUCAUGACGAAGCUUUGUGUGACGGUAGUGGGUAAAGAAGCACCGGCUAACUACGUG
This 467-nucleotide ribosomal RNA is filed under the name uncultured bacterium. RNAcentral's name for it is "partial 16S ribosomal RNA". It matches the Rfam family "Bacterial small subunit ribosomal RNA", at positions 28 to 507 of the family's 1533-position model. The record is from RNAcentral.